Molecule: ribosomal RNA, 253 nt
Filed under: uncultured bacterium
Lineage: Bacteria
Description: partial 16S ribosomal RNA
Rfam family: Bacterial small subunit ribosomal RNA
Source: RNAcentral
UACGGGGGGGGCAAGCGUUGUUCGGAAUUACUGGGCGUAAAGGGCUCGUAGGCGGCCAACUAAGUCGGACGUGAAAUCCCCAGGCUCAACCUGGGAACUGCGUCUGAUACUGGCAGGCUUGAAUCCGGGAGAGGGAUGUGGAAUUCCAGGUGUAGCGGUGAAAUGCGUAGAUAUCUGGAGGAACAUCGGUGGCGAAGGCGACAUCCUGGACCGGUAUUGACGCUGAGGCGCGAAAGCCAGGGGAGCAAACGGG